This 72-nucleotide transfer RNA is filed under the name Heterocephalus glaber (naked mole-rat). It matches the Rfam family "tRNA". Rfam says of the family: Transfer RNA (tRNA) molecules are approximately 80 nucleotides in length. Their secondary structure includes four short double-helical elements and three loops (D, anti-codon, and T loops). The record is from Rfam by way of RNAcentral. Lineage: Eukaryota; Metazoa; Chordata; Mammalia; Rodentia; Bathyergidae.
AGAGGUGUAGUUCAGUGAUAGAACAUUUGCCUAGCCUACACAAGACCCUGGGUUCAAUCCCUAGCACUGCAA